Molecule: ribosomal RNA, 245 nt
Filed under: uncultured bacterium
Lineage: Bacteria
Description: partial 16S ribosomal RNA
Rfam family: Bacterial small subunit ribosomal RNA
Source: RNAcentral
UACGGAGGGUGCGAGCGUUAUUCGGAAUUACUGGGCGUAAAGGGCGUGCAGGCGGCCUGGCAAGUCUGAUGUGAAAGCCCGGGGCUUAACCCCGGAAGUGCAUUGGAAACUGCCUGGCUUGAGUACCGGAGAGGAUGGGAGAAUUCCCGGUGUAGAGGUGAAAUUCGUAGAGAUCGGGAGGAACACCAGUGGCGAAGGCGCCCAUCUGGACGGCUACUGACGCUGAGACGCGAAAGCGUGGGGAG